This 107-nucleotide ribosomal RNA is filed under the name Prunus dulcis (almond). Lineage: Eukaryota; Viridiplantae; Streptophyta; Magnoliopsida; Rosales; Rosaceae. The record is from RNAcentral.
UUGGGAGCUCACUUCGAAGUCAUGGGAAUUCCGAAGUUAAGUGAGUUGGAGCUAGAGCAAUCCCAAGAUGGGUGACCUAUUGGGAAGUUUGCUAGUGAGUUCCCAAA